GAUGAACGCUGGCGGCGUGCCUAAUACAUGCAAGUCGAGCGAACAGACGAUGAGCUUUCUCUUCUGACGUUAGCGGGGGACGGGUGAGUAACACGUGGAUAACCUACCUAUAAGACUUGGGUAACUUCGUGAAACCGGUUCUAAUACCAGCUAAUAUAUUCUACCGCAGGGUUCAAUAGUUAUACACGCCUUUCGUGUUACUAUUAGCCGAUGUCGGAUUAGCUAGUUGGUGAGGUAAAGGCUCACCAAGGCAACGAUGCGUAGCUGAUCUGAGAGGAUGAUCGGCCACACUGGAACUGAGACACGGUCCAGACUCCUACGGGAGGCAGCAGUGGGGAAUCUUCCGCAAUGGGCGAAAGCCUGACGGAGCAACGCCGCGUGAGUGAUGAAGGUCUUCGGAUCGUAAAACUCUGUUAUUAGGGAAGAAAAAAUGUGUAAGUAACUAUGCACGUCUUGACGGUACCUAAUCAGAAAGCAACGGCUAACUACGUG
RNAcentral lists this ribosomal RNA (492 nucleotides) under uncultured bacterium. RNAcentral describes it as "partial 16S ribosomal RNA". It matches the Rfam family "Bacterial small subunit ribosomal RNA", at positions 28 to 507 of the family's 1533-position model. The record is from RNAcentral.